RNAcentral lists this ribosomal RNA (734 nucleotides) under Lycogala sp. RNAcentral's name for it is "partial small subunit ribosomal RNA". It matches the Rfam family "Eukaryotic small subunit ribosomal RNA", at positions 14 to 531 of the family's 1831-position model. The record is from RNAcentral. Lineage: Eukaryota; Evosea; Eumycetozoa; Liceales; Enteridiidae.
CUGCCAGAAUUCAUAUGCUUGUCCCGAAGACUCAAGCCAUGCAUGCCUAGAAGAAAAAUCGGUACCUGGUGGGCCCUUCUCGGCUUCGGCCGGGCAGGCCAUUCCAAGGACUGAGGAAUCAGCGAACGGCUCCGCAUAUCUGUUGCUACUUAUCACGGUAAAUUGGGCAUGGAUAGGGCAUGGAAAAGCUGUGUAUAACACAAACAUAGCGGGGCAACCGCCGACACUUGGCAUAGCCGGUGGGGUAAAAGGGGCCCAUUUUCCAUUGCGCACCUGCCUCAAUUAACAGCUCCCAUAGUACCGUCAGGCCGUCCGGCUGGGCCCCUUCGGGGGUCCGGCUGGGUUAUACAAAGAAAACGGCCGGGGAAACGGAGGCCUUUGCUGGCUCGGGUCGGGCUACCCAAACUACCGUAAUGGUCCUUCGCCCUGCGGGGUGGUUGUGUCCAGGGGUAGGGCUCAAUGACUCGGGUCGGAUGCAGAGACUAACCACAAGCGCGUGAUGGGCUUCAGACCUAUCAGCUAGAUGGUAGGGUAUCGGCCUACCAUGGCUAUGACGGGUACAGAGGAUUAGGGUUUGAUCCUGGAGAGGUAGCCUGAGAAAUCGCUCCCACUUCUAAGGACGGCAGCAGGCGCGCAACGUUCCCAAUGCUAGCUAACGCUAGAGUGAGGACGUAAUGGGACAUAACAAUGCCUCUUUAACUAGUAGGUAAUUGAUAAUGGGGCGGGCCCAAACA